Molecule: ribosomal RNA, 120 nt
Filed under: Petromyzon marinus (sea lamprey)
Lineage: Eukaryota; Metazoa; Chordata; Hyperoartia; Petromyzontiformes; Petromyzontidae
Source: RNAcentral
GCCUUUGGUCAAAUUACCCGGAAUGCGCCCCAUCUCGUCAGACCUCGGCAGCUUUGCAGAGUUGAGUCUGGAUAACACUUGGAUGGGUGACCACCACGAACUAACAGGCUGGCAUAAGCU